GGGUUGUGAGGUUAAGCGACUAAGCGUACACGGUGGAUGCCCUGGCAGUCAGAGGCGAUGAAGGGCGUGCUAAUCUGCGAUAAGCGCCGGUAAGGUGAUAUGAACCGUUAUAACCGGCGAUACCCGAAUGGGGAAACCCAGUGUGACUCGUCACACUAUCAUUAACUGAAUCCAUAGGUUAAUGAGGCGAACCGGGGGAACUGAAACAUCUAAGUACCCCGAGGAAAAGAAAUCAACCGAGAUUCCCCCAGUAGCGGCGAGCGAACGGGGAGGAGCCCAGAGCCUGAAUCAGCAUGUGUGUUAGUGGAAGCGUCUGGAAAGGCGCGCGAUACAGGGUGACAGCCCCGUACACAAAAGCGCAUGUGCUGUGAGCUCGAUGAGUAGGGCGGGACACGUGGUAUCCUGUCUGAAUAUGGGGGGACCAUCCUCCAAGGCUAAAUACUCCUGACUGACCGAUAGUGAACCAGUACCGUGAGGGAAAGGCGAAAAGAACCCCGGCGAGGGGAGUGAAAAAGAACCUGAAACCGUGUACGUACAAGCAGUGGGAGCACCCUUUGGGGUGUGACUGCGUACCUUUUGUAUAAUGGGUCAGCGACUUAUAUUCUGUAGCAAGGUUAACCGUAUAGGGGAGCCGGAGGGAAACCGAGUCUUAACCGGGCGUUAAGUUGCAGGGU
Molecule: ribosomal RNA, 674 nt
Filed under: Salmonella enterica subsp. enterica
Lineage: Bacteria; Pseudomonadati; Pseudomonadota; Gammaproteobacteria; Enterobacterales; Enterobacteriaceae
Description: partial 23S ribosomal RNA
Rfam family: Bacterial large subunit ribosomal RNA
Source: RNAcentral